Macaca mulatta (Rhesus monkey) is the source of this 148-nucleotide unclassified non-coding RNA. It matches the Rfam family "Metazoan signal recognition particle RNA". Rfam says of the family: The signal recognition particle (SRP) is a universally conserved ribonucleoprotein. The record is from Ensembl. Lineage: Eukaryota; Metazoa; Chordata; Mammalia; Primates; Cercopithecidae.
GCCGGGCGAGGUGGCGUGUGCCUGUAAUCCCAGCUACUCAGGAGGCUGAGGCAGGAGAAUCGCUUGAACCCGGGAGGCGGAGGUUGCAGUGAGCCGAGAUUGCACCACUGCACUCCAGCCUGGGUGACAGAGCGAGACUCCGUCUCAA